Molecule: ribosomal RNA, 427 nt
Filed under: uncultured bacterium
Lineage: Bacteria
Description: partial 16S ribosomal RNA
Rfam family: Bacterial small subunit ribosomal RNA
Source: RNAcentral
UGGGGAAUAUUGCACAAUGGGCGCAAGCCUGAUGCAGCCAUGCCGCGUGUAUGAAGAAUGCCUUCGGGUUGUAAAGUACUUUCAGCGGGGAGGAAGGCGAUAAGGUUAAUAACCUUGUCGAUUGACGUUACCCGCAGAAGAAGCACCGGCUAACUCCGUGCCAGCAGCCGCGGUAAUACGGAGGGUGCAAGCGUUAAUCGGAAUUACUGGGCGUAAAGCGCACGCAGGCGGUCUGUCAAGUCGGAUGUGAAAUCCCCGGGCUCAACCUGGGAACUGCAUUCGAAACUGGCAGGCUAGAGUCUUGUAGAGGGGGGUAGAAUUCCAGGUGUAGCGGUGAAAUGCGUAGAGAUCUGGAGGAAUACCGGUGGCGAAGGCGGCCCCCUGGACAAAGACUGACGCUCAGGUGCGAAAGCGUGGGGAGCAAACA